Molecule: ribosomal RNA, 429 nt
Filed under: Bacteroidota bacterium
Lineage: Bacteria; Pseudomonadati; Bacteroidota
Description: Bacteroidetes bacterium partial 16S ribosomal RNA
Rfam family: Bacterial small subunit ribosomal RNA
Source: RNAcentral
UAGGGAAUCUUCGGCAAUGGGGGGGACCCUGACCGAGCAACGCCGCGUGAGUGAAGAAGGUUUUCGGAUCGUAAAGCUCUGUUGUUAAGGAAGAACGAGUGUGAGAAUGGAAAGUUCAUACUGUGACGGUACUUAACCAGAAAGGGACGGCUAACUACGUGCCAGCAGCCGCGGUAAUACGUAGGUCCCGAGCGUUGUCCGGAUUUAUUGGGCGUAAAGCGAGCGCAGGCGGUUAGAUAAGUCUGAAGUUAAAGGCAGUGGCUCAACCAUUGUAGGCUUUGGAAACUGUUUAACUUGAGUGCAGAAGGGGAGAGUGGAAUUCCAUGUGUAGCGGUGAAAUGCGUAGAUAUAUGGAGGAACACCGGUGGCGAAAGCGGCUCUCUGGUCUGUAACUGACGCUGAGGCUCGAAAGCGUGGGGAGCGAACAGG